CAAUAGCGUAUAUUAAAGUUGUUGCAGUUAAAAAGCUCGUAGUUGGACCUUGGACCUGGACAGGCGGUCCGCCUCACGGCGAGUACUGUCUUGCUGGGUCUUUCCUCUUGGUGAUCUGUUGUUUCGGCAGCAGGGAACCAGGACCUUUACUUUGAAAAAAUUAGAGUGUUCAAAGCAGGCUCGACGCCGGAAUAUAUUAGCAUGGAAUAAUAAAAUAGGACGUGCGGUUCUAUUUUGUUGGUUUUUGGAAUCGCCGUAAUGAUUAAUAGGGACAGUCGGGGGCAUUAGUACUCACAUGCUAGAGGUGAAGUUCUUGGAUUUUGUGAAGACUAACUUCUGCGAAAGCAUUUGCCAAGGAUGUUUUCAUUAA
This 370-nucleotide ribosomal RNA is filed under the name uncultured eukaryote. Its description in RNAcentral is "partial 18S ribosomal RNA". It matches the Rfam family "Eukaryotic small subunit ribosomal RNA", at positions 592 to 976 of the family's 1831-position model. The record is from RNAcentral.